AUUGAACGCUGGCGGCAUGCCUAACACAUGCAAGUCGAGCGGAUGGAGUGAGCUUGCUCCUGGAUUCAGCGGCGGACGGGUGAGUAAUGCCUAUGAAUCUGCCUGGUCGUGGUGGAUAACGUCCUGAAACGGGCGCUAAUACCGCAUCCGUCCUGCGGGAGCAAGUGGGUGAUCUUCGGACCUCACGCUAUCAGGUGAGCCUAGGUCGGAUUCGCUAGUUGGUGGGGUGACGGCCUACCAAGGCGACGAUCCGUAACUGGUCUGAGAGGAUGAUCAGUCAAAAUGGAAGUGAGACACGGUCCAGAAGACUACGGGAGGCAGCAGUGGGGAAUAUUGGACAGUGGGAGAAAGAAUGAUACAGCCAGGCCGAGUGUGAGAAGAAGGUCUUCGGAUUGGAAAGAACUUUAAGGUGGGAGGAAGGGCAGUAAGUUAAUACCUUGCUGUUGUGACGGUACAAAGAGAAUAAGCACCGGCUAACUUCGUG
RNAcentral lists this ribosomal RNA (484 nucleotides) under uncultured bacterium. Its description in RNAcentral is "partial 16S ribosomal RNA". It matches the Rfam family "Bacterial small subunit ribosomal RNA", at positions 30 to 507 of the family's 1533-position model. The record is from RNAcentral.